This is a small nuclear RNA of Nycticebus coucang (slow loris), 107 nucleotides long. NCBI's taxonomy places the organism in Eukaryota, Metazoa, Chordata, Mammalia, Primates, Lorisidae. The record is from RefSeq and is a predicted model, not a curated record.
GUACUCACUUCUGCAGCACAUAUGCUAAAAUGGGAAUGAAACAGAGAAGAUUAGCAUGGCCCCUAUGCAAGCGGGACAUGCAAAUUUGUGAAGCAUUUCUUAUUUUU